GGGUUGUGAGGUUAAGCGACUAAGCGUACACGGUGGAUGCCCUGGCAGUCAGAGGCGAUGAAGGGCGUGCUAAUCUGCGAUAAGCGCCGGUAAGGUGAUAUGAACCGUUAUAACCGGCGAUACCCGAAUGGGGAAACCCAGUGUGAUUCGUCACACUAUCAUUAACUGAAUCCAUAGGUUAAUGAGGCGAACCGGGGGAACUGAAACAUCUAAGUACCCCGAGGAAAAGAAAUCAACCGAGAUUCCCCCAGUAGCGGCGAGCGAACGGGGAGGAGCCCAGAGCCUGAAUCAGCAUGUGUGUUAGUGGAAGCGUCUGGAAAGGUGCGCGAUACAGGGUGACAGCCCCGUACACAAAAGCGCAUGUGCUGUGAGCUCGAUGAGUAGGGCGGGACACGUGGUAUCCUGUCUGAAUAUGGGGGGACCAUCCUCCAAGGCUAAAUACUCCUGACUGACCGAUAGUGAACCAGUACCGUGAGGGAAAGGCGAAAAGAACCCCGGCGAGGGGAGUGAAAAAGAACCUGAAACCGUGUACGUACAAGCAGUGGGAGCCCCACCACCAAAGCAUUCUCUGGUGUUGAAGGCCCUGCAAAGCAGCAUCGCGGUGGCGGAGCGUCGUUUGCGACGCCCAACACACAAAACAAGCGGUGAAUGCUUUGGGGUGGGGUGACUGCGUACCUUUUGUAUAAUGGGUCAGCGACUUAUAUUCUGUAGCAAGGUUAACCGAAUAGGGGAGCCGGAGGGAAACCGAGUCUUAAUUGGGCGUUAAGUUGCAGGGUAUAGACCCGAAACCCGGUGAUCUAGCCAUGGGCAGGUUGAAGGUUGGGUAACACUAACUGGAGGACCGAACCGACUAAUGUUGAAAAAUUAGCGGAUGACCUGUGGCUGGGGGUGAAAGGCCAAUCAAACCGGGAGAUAGCUGGUUCUCCCCGAAAGCUAUUUAGGUAGCGCCUCGUGAAUUCAUCUCCGGGGGUAGAGCACUGUUUCGGCUAGGGGGCCAUCCCGGCUUACCAACCCGAUGCAAACUGCGAAUACCGGAGAAUGUUAUCACGGGAGACACACGGCGGGUGCUAACGUCCGUCGUGAAGAGGGAAACAACCCAGACCGCCAGCUAAGGUCCCAAAGUCAUGGUUAAGUGGGAAACGAUGUGGGAAGGCCCAGACAGCCAGGAUGUUGGCUUAGAAGCAGCCAUCAUUUAAAGAAAGCGUAAUAGCUCACUGGUCGAGUCGGCCUGCGCGGAAGAUGUAACGGGGCUAAACCAUGCACCGAAGCUGCGGCAGCGACGCUGAUGCGUUGUUGGGUAGGGGAGCGUUCUGUAAGCCUGCGAAGGUGACCUGUGAGGGUUGCUGGAGGUAUCAGAAGUGCGAAUGCUGACAUAAGUAACGAUAAAGCGGGUGAAAAGCCCGCUCGCCGGAAGACCAAGGGUUCCUGUCCAACGUUAAUCGGGGCAGGGUGAGUCGACCCCUAAGGCGAGGCCGAAAGGCGUAGUCGAUGGGAAACGGGUUAAUAUUCCCGUACUUGGUGUUACUGCGAAGGGGGGACGGAGAAGGCUAUGUUGGCCGGGCGACGGUUGUCCCGGUUUAAGCGUGUAGGUGUGUGUUCCAGGUAAAUCCGGUUCACUUUAACACUGAGGCGUGACGACGAGGCACUACGGUGCUGAAGCAACAAAUGCCCUGCUUCCAGGAAAAGCCUCUAAGCAUCAGGUAACAUCAAAUCGUACCCCAAACCGACACAGGUGGUCAGGUAGAGAAUACCAAGGCGCUUGAGAGAACUCGGGUGAAGGAACUAGGCAAAAUGGUGCCGUAACUUCGGGAGAAGGCACGCUGACACGUAGGUGAAGUGAUUUACUCAUGGAGCUGAAGUCAGUCGAAGAUACCAGCUGGCUGCAACUGUUUAUUAAAAACACAGCACUGUGCAAACACGAAAGUGGACGUAUACGGUGUGACGCCUGCCCGGUGCCGGAAGGUUAAUUGAUGGGGUCAGCGCAAGCGAAGCUCCUGAUCGAAGCCCCGGUAAACGGCGGCCGUAACUAUAACGGUCCUAAGGUAGCGAAAUUCCUUGUCGGGUAAGUUCCGACCUGCACGAAUGGCGUAAUGAUGGCCAGGCUGUCUCCACCCGAGACUCAGUGAAAUUGAACUCGCUGUGAAGAUGCAGUGUACCCGCGGCAAGACGGAAAGACCCCGUGAACCUUUACUAUAGCUUGACACUGAACAUUGAGCCUUGAUGUGUAGGAUAGGUGGGAGGCUUUGAAGUGUGGACGCCAGUCUGCAUGGAGCCGACCUUGAAAUACCACCCUUUAAUGUUUGAUGUUCUAACGUGGACCCGUAAUCCGGGUUGCGGACAGUGUCUGGUGGGUAGUUUGACUGGGGCGGUCUCCUCCUAAAGAGUAACGGAGGAGCACGAAGGUUGGCUAAUCCUGGUCGGACAUCAGGAGGUUAGUGCAAUGGCAUAAGCCAGCUUGACUGCGAGCGUGACGGCGCGAGCAGGUGCGAAAGCAGGUCAUAGUGAUCCGGUGGUUCUGAAUGGAAGGGCCAUCGCUCAACGGAUAAAAGGUACUCCGGGGAUAACAGGCUGAUACCGCCCAAGAGUUCAUAUCGACGGCGGUGUUUGGCACCUCGAUGUCGGCUCAUCACAUCCUGGGGCUGAAGUAGGUCCCAAGGGUAUGGCUGUUCGCCAUUUAAAGUGGUACGCGAGCUGGGUUUAGAACGUCGUGAGACAGUUCGGUCCCUAUCUGCCGUGGGCGCUGGAGAACUGAGGGGGGCUGCUCCUAGUACGAGAGGACCGGAGUGGACGCAUCACUGGUGUUCGGGUUGUCAUGCCAAUGGCACUGCCCGGUAGCUAAAUGCGGAAGAGAUAAGUGCUGAAAGCAUCUAAGCACGAAACUUGCCCCGAGAUGAGUUCUCCCUGAGACUUUAGGUCUCCUGAAGGAACGUUGAAGACGACGACGUUGAUAGGCCGGGUGUGUAAGCGCAGCGAUGCGUUGAGCUAACCGGUACUAAUGAACCGUGAGGCUUAACCUUACAACGCCGAAG
Molecule: ribosomal RNA, 3029 nt
Filed under: Salmonella enterica subsp. enterica serovar Typhimurium
Lineage: Bacteria; Pseudomonadati; Pseudomonadota; Gammaproteobacteria; Enterobacterales; Enterobacteriaceae
Description: 23S ribosomal RNA
Rfam family: Bacterial large subunit ribosomal RNA
Source: RNAcentral